This 492-nucleotide ribosomal RNA is filed under the name uncultured bacterium. RNAcentral's name for it is "partial 16S ribosomal RNA". It matches the Rfam family "Bacterial small subunit ribosomal RNA", at positions 29 to 507 of the family's 1533-position model. The record is from RNAcentral.
AGUGAACGCUGGCGGUAGGCCUAACACAUGCAAGUCGAACGGCAGCACAGUAAGAGCUUGCUCUUACGGGUGGCGAGUGGCGGACGGGUGAGGAAUACAGCGGAAUCUACUUUUUCGUGGGGGAUAACGUAGGGAAACUUACGCUAAUACCGCAUACGACCUACGGGUGAAAGCAGGGGAUCUUCGGACCUUGCGCGAUUGAAUGAGCCGAUGUCGGAUUAGCUAGUUGGCGGGGUAAAGGCCCACCAAGGCGACGAUCCGUAGCUGGUCUGAGAGGAUGACCAGCCCCACUGGAACUGAGACACGGUCCAGACUCCUACGGGAGGACGCAGUGGGGAAUAUUGGACAAUAGGCGCAAGCCUGAUCCAGCAAUACCGCGUGGGUGAAGAAGGCCUUCGGGUUGUAAAGCCCUUUUGUUGGGAAAGAAAAGCAGCAGGUUAAUACCCCGAUGUUCUGACGGUACCCAAAGAAUAAGCACCGGCUAACUUCGUG